GGCUCUGUGGCACAAUGGAUAGUGCAUUGGACUUCUAAUUCAAAGGUUCUGGGUUCGAGUCCCAGCAGAGUCA
This 73-nucleotide transfer RNA is filed under the name Alligator mississippiensis (American alligator). RNAcentral's name for it is "tRNA-Arg (TCT) (tRNA-Arg-TCT-4-1)". It matches the Rfam family "tRNA". From Rfam's summary of the family: Transfer RNA (tRNA) molecules are approximately 80 nucleotides in length. Their secondary structure includes four short double-helical elements and three loops (D, anti-codon, and T loops). The record is from RNAcentral. Lineage: Eukaryota; Metazoa; Chordata; Crocodylia; Alligatoridae.